GAGUUUGAUCCUGGCUCAGAACGAACGCUGGCGGCAGGCCUAACACAUGCAAGUCGAACGCGACUUCGGUCGAGUGGCGCACGGGUGAGUAACGCGUGGGAACCUGCCCUGUGGUACGGAAUAACAUCGGGAAACUGAUGCUAAUACCGUAUAUCUCCUGAGGGAGAAAGAUUUAUCGCCACAGGACGGGCCCGCGUAGGAUUAGCUAGUUGGUGAGGUAACGGCUCACCAAGGCGACGAUCCUUAGCUGGUCUGAGAGGAUGAUCAGCCACACUGGGACUGAGACACGGCCCAGACUCCUACGGGAGGCAGCAGUGGGGAAUAUUGGACAAUAGGGGAAACCCUGAUCCAGCCAUGCCGCGUGAGUGAUGAAGGCCUUCGGGUUGUAAAGCUCUUUCGCACGCGACGAUGAUGACGGUAGCGUGAGAAGAAGCCCCGGCUAACUUCGUGCCAGCAGCCGCGGUAAUACG
RNAcentral lists this ribosomal RNA (470 nucleotides) under uncultured eubacterium WR1116. RNAcentral describes it as "bacterial SSU rRNA". It matches the Rfam family "Bacterial small subunit ribosomal RNA", at positions 9 to 527 of the family's 1533-position model. The record is from RNAcentral.